Molecule: long non-coding RNA, 814 nt
Filed under: Manihot esculenta (cassava)
Lineage: Eukaryota; Viridiplantae; Streptophyta; Magnoliopsida; Malpighiales; Euphorbiaceae
Description: long non-coding RNA (MESC_LNC006035)
Source: RNAcentral
UUGAUUCUAAAAGCAAAGCAACAAUUAUAGAAAGAUCAAAUUGCAUAAAUAUUGAAAAUAACUAGAAGUUUAACAAUGGAGAUUUAAAUCUCCCAAUUCAUCACAAAUCUGAAUUUUCCAACUUCAACUAGAAAAUAAUGAAUUUAGCCACUCAUGGUGACUAAAAUACACAAAAAUAAAGAAGAAAAGAAAAAGAAAGUUUCUGCUGUGUUGCUGGAGAAUUUCCGAGGAUGGCAGAUGCUGAAAGAUGAUGAUAGGAUGCUGGUUUGGAUGUUGCCCUUAUAUAGCUGGAGAAUCCCAAUUCCAAUUUGAUUAGGGUUUUGGAAUCUCAAUUUGAUUUAGUCUUCUUUGUAGUCUUUGAUUCCUCUUUGGAUUUUGUAUUUGAUUGAGAAUGGAACUCUCUAAGUGAAGGGCGUGGCUCUUGGGACUGAUCUUGUGGUGUUUGAAGUGGACUUGGACUUCUUUUCUUUGAAUUUGGAUUUUCUGCUCUUUUCCCGCCUCUGCUGUCAACUUCUGCUGUCAAGGUGACUUGGGCAGUUUCUGCGAGUGACUUGGGCAAGUCACUUGCUCAAUCUGCCCCAAUCGCUCUCUGGGAUUCAGUCCAGUUUUUGCCUCUGACUCUGCGAAUGACUUGGCCAGUUCCUGCGAGUGAUUUGGGCAAAUCACUUUGACCCAAUCACUUUUCCAGCUUUUUCUUCACUUUUUCUCCAACUUUUCAAUUUCUUCCUUUUUUGUAAAAACAUAACAAAAACACAAAUUAAGCUAGAAAAAUGUGUAAAUAAAUAGUAAGAGAUAUGAUAAAAAUGUGGCUAAA